ACGCUCGACACCUACGAGAGGCAGCAGUGGGGAAUAUUGCACAAUGGAGGAAACUCUGAUGCAGCGAUGCCGCGUGAGGGAAGAAGGUUUUCGGAUUGUAAACCUCUGUCUUUGGGGACGAUAAUGACGGUACCCAAGGAGGAAGCUCCGGCUAACUACGUGUCAGCAGCCGCGGUAAUCUGAGCGGGCUGGCAAGGC
This 198-nucleotide ribosomal RNA is filed under the name uncultured bacterium. Its description in RNAcentral is "partial 16S ribosomal RNA". It matches the Rfam family "Bacterial small subunit ribosomal RNA", at positions 328 to 539 of the family's 1533-position model. The record is from RNAcentral.